This 497-nucleotide ribosomal RNA is filed under the name uncultured bacterium. RNAcentral's name for it is "partial 16S ribosomal RNA". It matches the Rfam family "Bacterial small subunit ribosomal RNA", at positions 28 to 507 of the family's 1533-position model. The record is from RNAcentral.
GAUGAACGCUGGCGGCGUGCCUAAUACAUGCAAGUCGAGCGAACGGACGAGAAGCUUGCUUCUCUGAUGUUAGCGGCGGACGGGGGAGUAACACGUGGAUAACCUACCUAUAAGACUGGGAUAACUUCGGGAAACCGGAGCUAAUACCGGAUGAUAUUUUGAACCGCAGGGUUCAAAAGUGAAAGACGGUCUUGCUGUCACUUAUAGAUGGAUCCGCGCUGCAUUAGCUAGUUGGUAAGGUAACGGCUUACCAAGGCAACGAUGCAUAGCCGACCUGAGAGGGUGAUCGGCCACACUGGAACUGAGACACGGUCCAGACUCCGACGGGAGGCAGCAGUAGGGAAUCUUCCGCAAUGGGCGAAAGCCUGACGGAGCAACGCCGCGUGAGUGAUGAAGGUCUUCGGAUCGUAAAACUCUGUUAUUAGGGAAGAACAUAUGUGUAAGUAACUGUGCACAUCUUGACGGUACCUAAUCAGAAAGCCACGGCUAACUACGUG